UUUCUUUUUCUUUUAAUUUAAUUGGUUUUUGCUGUGUUUUUCUUUUUGGAGUGGUUCUGUGGCCUUGCCACUUGGGAAAUCAUCUUCAUUUCCUCUCCCAAGUGGCUCAUCAUUCUCAAAACCUUGUCAAGAUCAUGUCACUUCACUGCUUGACCAAACCCUAAUUUCUUUUUCUCAGGAAUAUUCCUUUUUCUAUUAAGGGAAUAACCCUGUCUGCCCUAGGUUGUGAAGCAACCUAUAUUUAUGUCCAUCCAAAAAUUCCCAAAUAAUUCUCAUAAUUACUUUGGGUCAUACGUUGCUCAAAUGUGCCCAAACUUUCCUAUCCUAGCCCAAGAAUAAUUCCCCAAUAAUUAUUCUUCCUUUAUGUCCAGAGUGGCACUUUGUGAAGGAAGUGUCAUUUAUCUUAUCUUGUUUGCUCCCAAACUUGUUGGGCAUUCUUUUAUGUCGAAAUAAUUGCCACAUGGAAAAAUUCAACUUUAUUUGCCAAGCCAAUCUUCCUCAGUGAUGUUUCAAAGUUUCUGUCAAACAGAAGCCACUGUGAAGGAAGUACUAGCUAUCCAAAUGAGCUGAAAUUUUUCAUGCCUCUUCUUGUGCUUAUAUUAUCUCACUCCUACAAAUUUCAUCCCCAUCCAAUCAUCUAUGUGAGCACAGGAACAAAUCUUUGCUUCUGGUAAAAUUUUCAGGUUGUGAAGUAAGUGCAUUUUAUAUUGCUUCAAAAAUCCUGAUAAAUUACCAGAUCAUGAUCCUACCUAUAUAACAUCUCUCCACCCAAUUUGGCACCAUUUCACUUAGCUAAUAUUUCUCUAAAAUUAUUGCAAGUUUCUGGUCAGUGAAGAUAGCUGUGAAGGAAGUACCAUUUUGGUGAAUCCAAUUGGUAUGAAUUUUUUUACAGCAUCAUUGUAUGACCAAAUAACUAAGCCUUGCCAAAUUUGAGCUCAAGUGGUUACUCCAUGUGAGUGCACCUUCCUGAUCUUGAUUCUGGACUAAAUAUGCAGUUGUGAAGCAACUAUGGUGUAUAUUGGUCCAAAUCAUCUCAAAAUUAAUAGGAUGAUAGUCCUUCCUAAGCUGAUCACCUCAGACAAACUCUCUGGCUCCAAUUCCCUUCCUGUUGAUCAACAGUUCUCGGCCUAGUUUACUGCAGUAAUCUUCAGACGAUGAUUACCAUUUAACCACUGCGUAUUUAACCAAGUUACCACCUCAGUUGCAACCUACCCAUGAAGGACUCCACCCCAGACAGCGUUUGGCUUAGCUUGUGGCACUGUGGGCACCAGUGCACGCGGUGAUCACGAGCUUUGGCAUGCAAUGCGCGUGCUCUGCUGGCGUUUGCCGCGUCCAGGGCGUCUUCUAGCUCCGGCCCGUCUCCCUCUCAUCGUCUUCGCGCUCGUAAGUGUGUCUAACAGUUUUACUGCGUCGUCGCCGUCCUCCUGGAGCCAUCUCCCCUCCGUAAGCCCUCCAUCCACUCUCGUCGCCGCGUGCCCACGGACGUGCUGUUGCCGACCGUCGUUUCCCUCCUCGGUGUCCUCUUCCUCUUCUUGUCCACGAGCUCCGCUCGUCUCCAUGACCUCUGCGGCUCGUCCGCACCCCCCUUGUAGCGUUCCCGCGCCUCCCCGUGCUCGCUGCGCGUCACCAGAGCUUUGGCCGAGCUUGAGCGGCGGCAACCGGCUCGACACCUCGCCCCAUGCCUAUUUAAGCAGCCCCGGACCGCGUCCCUCCUCAUCCACAACCACACCUUCCUCCUAGACCCCGCCCUAGCCUCUCAAGCGAGCUUGCGAAGCUCUCUUCGCUGGAAAUCACUACCAUGGCCGCCGUCUCUGCUCCGCUCCGAUUCCGGUGAUCCCAAGCCCCAUUCUCUCUUCGACCACCUCUAGUCGAUCACCCAACCACCCAAGCCUCCCCCGCAGCUCUCCGUUCAUCGCCGGAGUCGCAAUGGCCUCGUCCACAAAUUCCGGCCGAAGCCCCGUCCGCUGCAGCUGCGGCUCUCCUCGACGCCGACCUCCCCUGGAUGUCUGGAUGGUCCAGGGUGGCGCGGCUCGGCCUGCUAAUCACGCCGGUAGGCGGUAAAGUGCGGGAGGUGGACGAAGUCACCGGCGGUCAUCGUUGGGGCGGCUGGCCUCGUGUCUGCCUCAGCGCGUCGUCGAGGGAAGAAGAAGGAGGCGCGGGAGGAGAGAGAGCGCGGUGGGACCCCCUCAUAAGCCACCCGGCGUUACCCCGCCCUGCCCACGUGGAUAAGUGGCCGACCCCACCCAUAAGUCUCACAUCGCUUACCAGCCCCGGGCCCGCGUGUUUUAAGUGAAAACGUAUUUCUGUGAAUACGCUUUCGCCUCUCGAAAACACAUUCCUUUCUUCUUCGGCCCGAAGUACGCUUUCUCUUUCUGAAAGCACAUUUCUCUAAAGACGUUUUCUGUUUUUCUGUCCAGGCCCAGAUUGUGAAGUUUUUCUUUGCAAAUAGGUCCCUGGCAGAAAACACUUGAUAACUUUUUGUUCACAACUCCGAAUGAGAAGAUUCCAAAGCCCACGUCUUCGUCUCAUCGAGCCUGUUCUGUUGGUUUCAUUUUCGCCAUGGUUUGACACUAUGAAAAUGACCAUUUUUCCCUUGCCUGUAAACAGCCCCUCCGAGAGAGAACUAUUUCCGGCGAUUCAUUCCGCGAGCUUCUCGCACUUUCUCCCGGUGAAUUCUUCCAUCCCAGGCAAGCCACAACCACCAUUUGCAUGAUAGCCAUGCAGUAGCAUUGGUUUUCAACUUGAAUCUUUAAUUACUGUAUGCUUGCUUUGCUACUGCUAUCGUUAUUUCGGUUAUGUUUAUGGAUCAGUGGUUACCGUCUUACUAUGUUUUCUUACACCCUGUUAUCAUGUUCUACCUGCUAGUAUUACUUUCAUAUUGUCCAUGCUUGAUAAUAGUACAUGUUGGGUUGGUCAUGUUCUUCGAUGCAUGACCAACGUCGGUUACCGAGUACCGUUGAUAUGCAUUGUUCCUUUGCUAUUAAUUGGUUAAGUGUUUACUCGGUAAUGUGAUUGGUGUGUUCUUGCAUCGUACUUAUUGUUGAUGAUAAUGGUCAUGUAUGCUAUGAGUAGUGUUGUACUUGUAAUAUUCAUACUCGUCAUUAUUAUAUGCUCAGUUGGAUAUGAUUCAUCAUUGAUAUGGUGGAUUGUUAUGUUGCACCCCAUGCUUAUGUUGAUAUCAUACUCAUGCAUUGUAAUCGCAUCAUGUUAUUUUAUCAUGGCUCAACAUAUUUGCAUUCAAGUUUAACCGGAUAAAAUUGAACUUGAACAACUGUUGGCUGAGUCAUGGUGCCACCAUAUCGAGCUGACCAGUGCAACCACGCUUACCUUUAUGGGAAGGUCCUAACUGGGUCUAUUGUCGUGCCUCUCGCAGGUGCCUCCCACUCGGGAAGGUUAUGGGCGCGCGCUACCCUGAUCAGGUAGGCGGACAUAAGCCUUGUGUGCCCGUAGUUGUUCUAUCCGGAUUGUCCCCGUUUGGGACCGUUUUUCCACGACGGUGGUCGUUGGUGCCUUUGGUAGGCACGGGGCCACCCAUGACCUAGCCCAGAGGGGAGUUGGUCGGAGUGGCCGGGAGAGUGUCAUGGCAGUAGGACGGUUUUGUCGGAACGCCGUUGGUCCACCCGAAUGGGAGUGUGAGGCCAUGGGUUCCGUGGUGUGGGUACAGUGUGCUAACCUCUGCAGAGUGUAUACUAAACCUAUCGAUAGCCGUGCCCGCGGAUAAGGGCCCAGUUCGUGUCCGUCACACUAUGCGUCAACAGUAAUAAUAAUGAUGUGUUUAAUAACAACCUAAUUACGAUGAUGAGAUAAAUUGGUUAUGUGAUCCGUGAAUUAUCACCGUUUGGUUACGAGGUAACCCGUGGAGCCCAGAGUGGUUCCGUUUGUGAUCCAUGAAUGAUCACCAUGGUAUCGAGGAUACCGAGUUGUUCGAUAUUCGUGAUGUUUUGCGAGAAUCGCCGGUAAAAAUCAAGCUCCUGGUGGUCAUUUAAUGAUUACUACUGUAUUGUUUAUACCAAGCUUGAUUUGAUCCUGAGACAAUCGUGUGAUGUCCGAGGUUGGUAAGUGCUGCAUGUGAUGGUUACGAGAUAACCCGAGAAGAGUAAGUUGGUGCAUGAUAAUGUCAUCAUGGUGCAUGAUAGUGUCAUCAUGUUUAUAUGUCCAUGCCAUGCUCAUAUUGUUCUAGCUGUAUCAUGUUGUUCAGGCUAUGUUGUUCAGAUAAUAUAAUGUUAAUCCGUGUUUAACCUGUAAUUGCCAUGCUGUUGUAUGUCUUGAAUGCUUCUGGUUAUUGUGAUCUUGCAAGUACAUUCAAUGUACUGACCUGACGUGUCAUGCCAGUUUGCAGGUCAUGCCGGAUUUGAUUGCUUGCUAGUCAUGGUUUCCGUUCGUGCGAGCUAGGAUAAGUGUUCCAGCUAGAGUCCAUGCGGAGUGGAGUUCAUCACCGUCGUCGCUGUUCCGCUGCUAGAAGUGUUUCUGCUACUUCGAGUUGUUCUGCUGCUUGCAUGGAGCAACUGAGGAUGGCGUAGUGUCGCCGUGCCGAUGUUAUUCCUUGUAAUAUCGGAGACCUUGUAUUCAUAUCCGUGUAAUAAUAGAAAGCUGGUUUGUUCUAUGCUAAGCAGUGCCGUAUUCCAGAAGACUUCUCCUCGAUCUCUGGGCUGGAAUACGGGGCGUUCCGGUUUCUCUGAGCCAGGGUGCCACAAGGCUUGGUAUCAGAGCAGGUCUGGCUGUAGGACGCCCUAGUCAGCGCGAGCGAUAGAAACCGGUAGUUUAAAGUCCGUCCUGGUUAUUGCAUUUGGUUGCUGCAUUUCUUUGUUGCAUAGCAUGCAUAUAGCCUUAGUAUUUGUUGCUAACGAGUUAUCUGGUGAGUGUAGCUGGCAUCGGUUCAGAUCCACUAUAGCUCAGCACCUGCAUUUCUCCAGUUUUCUUUUGUUGCUCGUUCUUCGGUGUUUCAUGUCAUUUCUAUCCCAGCAGAGUGAUGCCAAGUGAUCCCGACACCUUUUGUAAAAAUGGUGCUCACGUAUCUCGCCGAUAUCCUCCUUUCAGCCCCGCCUAUCGUUUCGGUGAUGGACAUGCUUCUAUCCCGAAUCGCUCUUUUAUUUUGACGUGUUGGCAACCCUUAAUGAUCUCAGUUAUCAAGAAAGGGAAAUGUCAGCAGCCUCCGUUUUCCCCCGCUAUCCUAUUCCUUGGACGAGUACGGAUAUUUUCCUGUCCGCUUGAUAAUAAUGUGGUUGCGACCUAUGUGUCCCACUACAGGUUUAUCGAGUGCGUCCUCGCCUCCGAGCUAGUCUAGGUUGCUACCUGGCUAAGCUAGCACUUGGUGUAGCGUUGUUUACACCAAUUCUUCCACACAUUUAUUCGUCCUUGUGCACACCGUCACAGCAUGCUAGAUCGUAGAACCAGAGAUCCCGCGAGAUUUGUGUGCUUAAGUAGGCAUGCAUAUUGUGUGACUAGCAGUAAUAUGUGACAUUGAUUGUGUGUGAAUUGAUUGUUGUUGUGUGCUUUUGUUUAGUUGAGUUUUCUUUUGCUUCUUUCUUUUAGGCCCCGAUGUUACAUUAUUUUUCCCCUAUAAAGAGUUGCUCAUCAACCAACACCGGACUCAAAGAAGUAACAAGGAGUUUAAAUAUUUGGAAAAUUAGCUAAACAGAAUGGAAUUCUCAGCCCACUACAGUGAAAUGGGGAAUAUCCGAUUUUGAGACUGAUAAUCAAUUUUGCAUUAAUGGGCACUCCUCACAACAGUACUGAUAACAAAAGUCUACAUCAGUACCAAAUCCUCACAGCAGUAAUGAUCAAGUCAGCAGCAAGACAACUCAAGUACAAGAGCAAUAGUAUAUUUUCAGUCAAAGGUAUGGAUCAUAUACACAAUUUUGGCUCAGCAAUGCAUGAUGCUUGAGAUAUAUUAUCAUCCAAAAUAAAGUCAGAAGGUGACAUGCUCAAGGAAGACAGUCAAUCAAAUUUCCUCAUGCAAAUAAUCAGCCACCGAAUAUUAUGGGUGUGUGUGUGUGUGUGGAUUUCUGUCUGCAUAUCAUAGUAUGAAGUUUGAAUAUGAGAAACUCAGUCUUCUUCCACACGUUAUCGGAAGAAAUUUAUGAUGCAAGGCUCCUCGAUUUUCCUCAACAUGAUAUGUGAACAAUUUCUGGUCCAAAAGAUACCCAGUCUUUCUCAACAAGAUACCUCAGUAAAAGCUUCUGACAGACAAAAAUUAAUUUUUCUCAACAAGCAAAUCCGAGGAAAAGCUUCUCAAGUACGGAACUCAAGCUUCUCCAGCACAAUAAUCAGACCAAGCUUCGUGUGUAAGCUAUAGAGCCUUCUUCUGCACGAUACCCAGGCAAAAGAUUUGAGCAAAAGUUAACAAGUCUUCCUCAGCAAGCUACUCGGAUGGCUUCUCUUGUAAGCCAAUUAGUCCGCGUCAGUAGCACACUAUUGCACCGCCCUCAGAGAUUAUGCGGCGAGUUGGCAAUAUAUGACAGUGCUUCUCAAGAGUCAGAUCAGCAAUAAUUUUGGUCAGAAGCACAAAUCAGUCAAAACACAUGCCUACCUCAAGGAUCAAGUGCUCGGUUGCAUAUGAUUCUUACGCAUAUGGUGAGCGUGCAUCCCCAAUAAUAUUAGUCACUCAUAUGAGGUACAGCAAGGAUCCAACAGAUAUACCUAAGGAAAGUAUGGAUCCCACAACCUCAUGAAUCAUGCAAAUGAAGAUAAGCAGAGGUACAUCUCAUAAAUUACAAAGAUCGACAAGAUAUGGAUAAGACAUUACAUAAUCAACAGUCUUGACAGUGGCCACCAAGGCCAAUAUUCCCGCACUGACAAGGAGAUCUCAUGAACUCUUGUCACCCUCUUUUAUGGUUGGCCUCAACAAUGAGCUCUGUACAGCUACAAGCCCCGAGAAUACGUCAUAUACGUGCGGAACCCAAGCACCAGGGAUAAUGAAAAAAAUGUUGCACUAGCCGCGACCAUGGUCAUGCGAAGAAUCAAGGAUAUAUGUGGCCAACCUAUUUCAGUAAGAUAUCCUGACAAAGAAAAUCAUGACCAUCAAAAGGAUGAGGUUGAUAGCAACGGUAUGAUGAUUUUUGCAUGACCAUCAGGGUCCGGAUAACCAAAUCAGUUAGUGGCCAGAUUACAUAUGGAGCCACAAAGGCAUGCCCUCAGUGAAUUACUCUGCUCUACAAGGACUUCUUAUCCAGCUGACCCACUUAAAAAAAUGGUUAGUGCGGAAUAUCCAAAUCUGUUCUGUCAAGUCCAAGAUUCUUUUGCAACCUCAGCAGUUUGACUCCAGCGAUAGUAUAAAGCAUCGCACAGCUUAUUACCACAUCUGGGUAUACCGACAACAUGUGCAAAUAAAAAAUCAAACAAUCAGCUCAGACCAGGUAUAUCCACUUCUGUAACGUAGUACCCGGACAGACUGUCAUGAAAAGUAUCUUCCCACAAGCAUACCUGUCAGGACAGUCUCAAGAUGUUAAUAUUUGAGGUAUGCUACAAUUAUAAGUCUAUACCCUGUUAUAUUUCUCACGACAGAAGGCAGUCAAAUCUUUCGUAGAUAUCCCAUGAUCGAGCCAAAGAAAUAAAUCAAAUAAAUCAGUACCACUUAUGAGCAGUCAGAUCCCGUCAGAAGAUGGCCACGAUUAAUUCUCAGCAUUUGUUGAAACCAGAAGGCCUGCAUUUGUUUGAAGCAACCCCAUGACAAGAGUAAAAAGGUUUUCAUGACCAAAAGAAAAUGUAUGCUCAGAUCCAUUGGAUAUCACCCCGGGUAUGGAGAAUCAACGUCAGUAAAAAGGAAUUGGUAUAUGAGAAAAGACCCGUCAGAAUUUGGGAAAUGUGAAGCAAGCCACCCUAGAGCAAGGUAAGUUAAUCAUCUGCAAUUCUUGGGGAAACAAUAAAUAAAGGAAAUAGGAUACCCGAGUAGGAAACGGUGUCCUAAGGUCAUACUUGUUCCCUGAGCAACCAAAUCUCGAGGAUGAGAUUUCUUUAAGGGGGGAAGGUUUGUAACAGGCUGGUUUUUGGCCCUUUUCUUUUUCUUUUAAUGUAAUUGGUUUUUGCUCUGUUUUUCUUUUUGGAGUGGUUCUGUGGCCUUGCCACCUGGGAAAUCAUCUUCAUUUCCUCUCCCAAGUGGCUCAUCAUUCUCAAAACCUUGUCAAGAUCAUGUCACUUCACUGCUUGACCAAACCCUAAUUUAUUUUUCUCAGGAAUAUUCCUUUUUCUAUUAAGGGAAUAACCCUAUCUGCCUUAGGUUGUGAAGCAACCUAUAUUUCUGUCCAUCCAAAAAUUCCCAAAUAAUUCUCAUAAUUACUUUGGGUCAUAUGUUGCUCAAAUGUGCCCAAACUUUCCUAUCCUAGCGCAAGAAUAUUUCCCUAAUAAUUAUUCUUCCUUUCUGUCCAGAGUAGCACUUUGUGAAGGACGUGUCAUUUAUCUUAUGUUGUUUGCUCCCGAACUUGUUGGGCAUUCGUUCAUGUCCAAAUAAUCGCCACAUGCCAAAAUUCAACUUUAUUUGCCAAGCCAAUCUUCCUCAGUGAUUUUUCAAAGUUUCUGUCAAACAGAAGCCACUGUGAAGGAAGUACUAGCUAGGCGAAUUCAAAUGAGUAGAAAUUUUGCAUGCCUCUUCUUGUGCUCAUAUUAUCUCACUCCUACAAAUUUCAGCCCCAUCCAAUUAUCUAUGUGAGCACAGGAACAAAUCUUUGCUUCUGGUAAAAUUUUCAGGUUGUGAAGCAAGUACGUUGUAUAUUGCUUCAAAAAUCCUGAUAAAUUACCAGAUCAUGCUCCU
RNAcentral lists this long non-coding RNA (8746 nucleotides) under Triticum aestivum (bread wheat). RNAcentral describes it as "long non-coding RNA (TAES_LNC000122)". The record is from RNAcentral. Lineage: Eukaryota; Viridiplantae; Streptophyta; Magnoliopsida; Poales; Poaceae.